GGCCUGAUGGUCUAGUAGUAUGAUUCGCCCUUCGGAUGGGCGAGGUCCCGGGUUCAACUCCCGGUUAGGCCC
Molecule: transfer RNA, 72 nt
Filed under: Melampsora larici-populina 98AG31
Lineage: Eukaryota; Fungi; Basidiomycota; Pucciniomycetes; Pucciniales; Melampsoraceae
Description: tRNA-Pro (CGG) (tRNA-Pro-CGG-1-1, tRNA-Pro-CGG-1-2)
Rfam family: tRNA
About the family: Transfer RNA (tRNA) molecules are approximately 80 nucleotides in length. Their secondary structure includes four short double-helical elements and three loops (D, anti-codon, and T loops).
Source: RNAcentral